Drosophila albomicans is the source of this 377-nucleotide long non-coding RNA. RefSeq lists it as uncharacterized. The transcript is spliced from 3 exons. The record is from RefSeq and is a predicted model, not a curated record. NCBI's taxonomy places the organism in Eukaryota, Metazoa, Arthropoda, Insecta, Diptera, Drosophilidae.
UACGCAAUUUAAUCAACAAAAAUAUUUAUACUAAAUCAUUCUAAGAUCAUUUCACUUGAUGUAAGUUUUUCUCAGAACCUAACCUCAGUGAAAACCGAGGCAUAGAUGUAUAACACAUCAAUUCGUGAACAGGUUUGCUGCUUUGUUGGCUCGGGUUAUUACAUAUUUUAAAGACGUAUACAAAAUGAUGAUCAAAGUUGCGAUAUUUUUGAUGAUUUCAACGAUUUUAUUGGGAGAAGGUGACGCCAGAUUACGUUGUGUAUUGGGCAUAUGCCCAAUUGAUGUAUUCAGAUCACAAUCGAAUUAAUUGAUUAUAACUGACUGUUUUUGUGUUAUUUCAGUUUGUGUCUUUUGUAUAAAGCUCGAGCAAAUAAAUU